Molecule: ribosomal RNA, 301 nt
Filed under: uncultured bacterium
Lineage: Bacteria
Description: partial 16S ribosomal RNA
Rfam family: Bacterial small subunit ribosomal RNA
Source: RNAcentral
CAGCAGCCGCGGUAAUACGGAGGGCGCGAGCGUUACCCGGAUUUACUGGGCGUAAAGGGCGUGUAGGCGGCCUGGGACGUCCCAUGUGAAAGGCCACGGCUCAACCGUGGAGGAGCGUGGGAUACGCUCAGGCUAGAGGGUGGGAGAGGGUGGUGGAAUUCCCGGAGUAGCGGUGAAAUGCGCGGAUACCGGGAGGAACGCCGAUGGCGAAGGCAGCCACCUGGUCCACUUCUGACGCUGAGGCGCGAAAGCGUGGGGAGCAAACCGGAUUAGAUACCCCUGUAGUCCCUGUCUCUUAUAC